AUUGAACGCUGGCGGCAGGCCUAACACAUGCAAGUCGAGCGGUAGCACAGGGAGCUUGCUCCUGGGUGACGAGCGGCGGACGGGUGAGUAAUGUCUGGGAAACUGCCUGAUGGAGGGGGAUAACUACUGGAAACGGUAGCUAAUACCGCAUAGCGUCGCAAGACCAAAGAGGGGGACCUUCGGGCCUCUUGCCAUCAGAUGUGCCCAGAUGGGAUUAGCUAGUAGGUGGGGUAACGGCUCACCUAGGCGACGAUCCCUAGCUGGUCUGAGAGGAUGACCAGCCACACUGGAACUGAGACACGGUCCAGACUCCUACGGGAGGCAGCAGUGGGGAAUAUUGCACAAUGGGCGCAAGCCUGAUGCAGCCAUGCCGCGUGUAUGAAGAAGGCCUUCGGGUUGUAAAGUACUUUCAGCGGGGAGGAAGGUGUUGAGGUUAAUAACCUCAGCAACUGACGUUACCCGCAGAAGAAGCACCGGCUAACUCCGUGCCAGCAGCCGCCGCAG
This 504-nucleotide ribosomal RNA is filed under the name uncultured bacterium. RNAcentral describes it as "partial 16S ribosomal RNA". It matches the Rfam family "Bacterial small subunit ribosomal RNA", at positions 29 to 523 of the family's 1533-position model. The record is from RNAcentral.